Molecule: ribosomal RNA, 253 nt
Filed under: uncultured bacterium
Lineage: Bacteria
Description: partial 16S ribosomal RNA
Rfam family: Bacterial small subunit ribosomal RNA
Source: RNAcentral
UACGUAGGGGGCAAGCGUUGUCCGGAUUUAUUGGGCGUAAAGAGCGUGUAGGCGGUUAUGCAGGUCCGCUGUGAAAACUGGAGGCUUAACCUCCAGACGUCGGUGGAAACCGUAUGACUAGAGUCCGGAAGAGGAGAGUGGAAUUCCUGGUGUAGCGGUGAAAUGCGCAGAGAUCAGGAAGAACACCGGUGGCGAAAGCGCUCUGCUGGACCUUAACUGACACUGAGGGACGAAAGCUAGGGGAGCGAAUGGG